This 325-nucleotide ribosomal RNA is filed under the name uncultured eukaryote. RNAcentral describes it as "partial 18S ribosomal RNA". It matches the Rfam family "Eukaryotic small subunit ribosomal RNA", at positions 1470 to 1796 of the family's 1831-position model. The record is from RNAcentral.
CCCUUAGAUGUUCUGGGCCGCACGCGCGCUACACUGAUGCAUUCAACAAGUUCUACCUUGGCCGAGAGGCCUGGGAAAUCUUUCAAAUAUGUAUCGUGAUAGGGAUAGAUUAUUGCAAUUAUUAAUCUUGAACGAGGAAUUCCUAGUAAAUGCAGAUCAUCAUUCUGCGUUGAUUACGUCCCUGCCCUUUGCACACACCGCCCGUCGCACCUACCGAUUGAAUGAUCCGGUGAAGCCUCGGGAUUGUGCCCAGAGAACUUUAUUGUGAUUUGGGUGUGAGAACUUGUCUAAACCUUAUCAUUUAGAGGAAGGUGAAGUCGUAACA